UACGUAGGAGGCAAGCGUUGUCCGGAAUCACUGGGCGUAAAGCGCGUGUAGGCGGAUCGCUAAGUCUGUUGUGAAAGCGCCUGGCUUAACCGGGCGAGGUCGAUGGAAACUAGCGGUCUGGAGGCCGGUAGAGGGGGGUGGAAUUCCGGGUGUAGUGGUGAAAUGCGUAGAGAUCCGGAGGAACACCAGUGGCGAAGGCGGCCCCCUGGGCCGCGCCUGACGCUGAGACGCGAAAGCGCGGGGAGCGAACGGG
This 253-nucleotide ribosomal RNA is filed under the name uncultured bacterium. RNAcentral describes it as "partial 16S ribosomal RNA". It matches the Rfam family "Bacterial small subunit ribosomal RNA", at positions 524 to 776 of the family's 1533-position model. The record is from RNAcentral.